RNAcentral lists this ribosomal RNA (432 nucleotides) under uncultured bacterium. Its description in RNAcentral is "partial 16S ribosomal RNA". It matches the Rfam family "Bacterial small subunit ribosomal RNA", at positions 29 to 507 of the family's 1533-position model. The record is from RNAcentral.
GCGAACGCUGGCGGCAGGCCUAACACAUGCAAGUCGAACGGAUCCUUCGGGAUUAGUGGCGGACGGGUGAGUAACACGUGGGAACGUGCCCUUUGGCUCGGAACAACUCAGGGAAACUUGAGCUAAUACCGGAUGUGCCCUUCGGGGGAAAGAUUUAUCGCCAUUGGAGCGGCCCGCGUCUGAUUAGCUAGUUGGUGAGGUAACGGCCCACCAAGGCGACGAUCAGUAGCUGGUCUGAGAGGAUGAUCAGCCACACUGGGACUGAGACACGGCCCAGACCCCUACGGGAGGCAGCAGUGGGGAAUCUUGCGCAAUGGGCGAAAGCCUGACGCAGCCAUGCCGCGCGAAUGAUGAAGGUCUUAGGAUUGUAAAAUUCUCUCAGCGGGGACGAUAAUGACGGUACCCGCAGAAGAAGCUCCGGCUAACUUCGUG